This is a long non-coding RNA of Bos taurus (domestic cattle), 418 nucleotides long. NCBI's taxonomy places the organism in Eukaryota, Metazoa, Chordata, Mammalia, Artiodactyla, Bovidae. The record is from Ensembl.
GGCUUUGAAUCAACUGCCACUUACUGUGCCAUCAGGGUGGCACCACGCACGUCGUGAGCUACAGAUGAGAAUCCUCUGACCAAGAAAGGUGCAGCAAGGUGGCAGAGGGUGAACUGAGGCUUCUCUCCAAAAAGAGGAGGGACAGAUGUUUGCUGCUGGUUUUUUCCAUCGUUUUAUGCCCAAGGGACCUGGAGCGUGUGAGGGUCUCUGUCAGCACCACUCAAAAGAAAAACAACACAAGACCCAUUUUGGUCUAAGGCAGCCCUUGCCCAAUAGGAAGCCCAUAGAUUCCUCAUCCAUGCUAAAGACAGGCAGAGUCGUCUGUGACUUUCAAUUUUCAUGAAUGCGUAAGUGGCCUUGGCCACUAAGCAGGCAUUUUCCAAAACGGAUGUGCCUUUCUCAAUCACUGUGUCUGCGG